UGCGGGGAGCGGCGAACGGGUGAGUAACACGUUGGAAUCUGCCCCGAACUCAGGGAUAACAUCUAGAAAUAGGUGCUAAUACCGGAUAGUCCCGCAAGGGUAAAGCUUUUGCGGUUCGGGAGGAGCCUGCGUCCUAUCAGCUUGUUGGUGAGGUAAUGGCUCACCAAGGCAAUGACGGGUAGCUGGUCUGAGAGGAUGAUCAGCCACAAUGGGACUGAGACACGGCCCAUACUCCUACGGGAGGCAGCAGUAAAGAAUCUUCCACAAUGGGGGAAACCCUGAUGGAGCAAUCUCGCGUGAAUGAUGACAGCCGAAAGGUCGUAAAGUUCUUUUCUGAGGGAAUAAUUUUGAAGGUACCUUAGGAAUAAGCACCGGCUAACUCCGUGCCAGCAGCCGCGGUAAUACGGAGGGUGCAAGCGUUAUCCGGAAUCAUUGGGCGUAAAGCGUCCGCAGGCGGUUUGUUAAGUUGGUUAUUAAAUCUCGGGGCCCAACCCUGGGGCUGUAACCAAAACUAGCUAACUAGAGUCUUUCAGAGGCACGUGGAAUUCUGUGUGUAGGGGUAAAAUCCGUAGAUACACAGAGGAACACCAAAAGCGAAGGCAGCGUGCUGGGAAAGUACUGACGCUCAUGGACGAAAGCGUAGGUAGCGAACGGGAUUAGAUACCCCGGUAGUCUACGCCGUAAACGAUGGAUACUAGGUGUUGGAGGGUCAACCCCCUUCAGUGCCGAAGCUAACGCAUUAAGUAUCCCGCCUGGGGAGUACGGUCGCAAGAUUAAAACUCAAAGGAAUAGACGGGGACCCACACAAGCGGUGGAGCAUCUGGUUUAAUUCGAUAAUGAGCGAGGAACCUUACCUGGGUUUGACAUCCCGAGAAUCUUCUGGAAACAGAGGAGUGCCUUCUGGAACUCGGUGACAGGUGCUGCAUGGUCGUCGUCAGCUCGUGCCUUGAGGUGUUCGGUUAAGUCCGUAAACGAGCGCAACCCAUGUCCUGUGUUGCAAUUUCACAGGAGACUGCCGAUUCAAAGUCGGAGGAAGGUAUGGAUGACGUCAGAUCAGCAUGGCCCUUAUGUCCAGGGCUACACAGGUGCUACAAUGGCAGGUACAAUGGGCAGCAAUAUCGCAAGAUGGAGCCAAUCCCAAAAGCUUGUCUAAGUUCGGAUUGAGGGCUGCAACUCGCCCUCAUGAAGUUGGAAUCGCUAGUAAACGCGGAUCAGCAAUGGCGCGUUGAAUUUGUUCCUGGGUCUUGUACUCACCGCCCGUCACACUACGGAAGGUGGGGGCGCCCGAAGUACCCUUAUCCCCUCGGGGAGGGGUCCUAAGGUGAAACCACUGACUGGAGUGAAGUCGUAACAAGGUA
Molecule: ribosomal RNA, 1358 nt
Filed under: metagenome
Description: bacterial SSU rRNA
Rfam family: Bacterial small subunit ribosomal RNA
Source: RNAcentral